GUCCUUUUGAAUUUAAUUUAAGGUCUAACCUGCCCAAUGAAAGAUUUAAAUGGCCGCAGUAUUUUGACUGUGCAAAGGUAGCAUAAUCAUUAGUUUUUUAAUUGAAAGCUUGUAUGAAGGGUUGGACGAGAUAAAGACUGUCUUAAGUUAAUUUAAUUUAGAAUUUAAUUUUUAAGUUAAAAAGCUUAAAUUUUAUUAAAAGACGAGAAGACCCUAUAGAUCUUUAUAAUUAUUAUUUUAAUUAAAUUUUAGAAUUAUUUAUUAUUUAUUAUAUUAAUUAUUUUAUUGGGGUAAUAUAAAGAUUUAAUAAAUUCUUUAUUUAUUUAUACAUUAAUUUAUGAUUAUUUGAUCCAAUAUUAUUGAUUAUAAGAUUAAGUUACCUUAGGGAUAACAGCGUAAUUUUUUUAGAGAGUUCAUAUCGAUAAAAAAGUUUGCGACCUCGAUGUUGGAUUAAAAAUUAUCUUAGGUGCAGAAGUUUAAGAUUUUGGUCUGUUCGACCAUUAAAUUUUU
This 510-nucleotide ribosomal RNA is filed under the name Megadytes australis. RNAcentral's name for it is "partial 16S ribosomal RNA". The stretch from base 387 to 510 matches the Rfam family "Bacterial large subunit ribosomal RNA", at positions 2473 to 2597 of the family's 2925-position model. The record is from RNAcentral. Lineage: Eukaryota; Metazoa; Arthropoda; Insecta; Coleoptera; Dytiscidae.